Molecule: ribosomal RNA, 497 nt
Filed under: uncultured bacterium
Lineage: Bacteria
Description: partial 16S ribosomal RNA
Rfam family: Bacterial small subunit ribosomal RNA
Source: RNAcentral
GAUGAACGCUGGCGGCGUGCCUAAUACAUGCAAGUCGAGCGAACAGACGAGGAGCUUGCUCCUCUGACGUUAGCGGCGGACGGGUGAGUAACACGUGGAUAACCUACCUAUAAGACUGGGAUAACUUCGGGAAACCGGAGCUAAUACCGGAUAAUAUAUUGAACCGCAUGGUUCAAUAGUGAAAGACGGUUUUGCUGUCACUUAUAGAUGGAUCCGCGCCGCAUUAGCUAGUUGGUAAGGUAACGGCUUACCAAGGCAACGAUGCGUAGCCGACCUGAGAGGGUGGUCGGCCACACUGGAACUGAGACACGGGCCCGACUCCUACGGGAGGGCGCAGUAGGGGAUCCUCCGCAAUGGGCGGAAGCCUGACGGAGCAACGCCGCGUGAGUGAUGGAGGUCUUCGGAUCGUAAAACCCUGUUAUUAGGGAAGAACAAAUGUGGAAGUAAAUAUGGCAGUCUUGACGGUACCUAAUCAGAAAGCCACGGCUAACUACGUG